AGAGUGAACCAGCAGCUCACCCACAGCGCACAUACACAGAGUGACAGACAAAAACACACUUGGUCGCUGAGUGAACAAAAUGCAAAGAGACAUGAGUGACCGACAUUUUGUCUGCUUUUGUAUUGCCACUGCCACUUUUGAGUUUUCUGCCAAAUCCUGCAAACUUGCCUUUGAGAGCAUAAAGCCGAGCACUUCACAGCAGCCGACUUUACUAAACAAUAUCACCGCCUAAGUGAGCCCUCACCCACAGCAAUCUUCUCACAGAAGCUCCUCUUUACACCUUGGCGACCAGACAACCAACCUCUGGGGAUGCUACUUCCAGUUGAUAUGCACAGCGCCUCUCCUUCCAAUCAGUACUUCUUAAAGGUUGUUACUAAU
This is a long non-coding RNA of Micropterus dolomieu (smallmouth bass), 378 nucleotides long. RefSeq lists it as uncharacterized. NCBI's taxonomy places the organism in Eukaryota, Metazoa, Chordata, Actinopteri, Centrarchiformes, Centrarchidae. The transcript is spliced from 4 exons. The record is from RefSeq and is a predicted model, not a curated record.